Molecule: ribosomal RNA, 261 nt
Filed under: Agrobacterium tumefaciens
Lineage: Bacteria; Pseudomonadati; Pseudomonadota; Alphaproteobacteria; Hyphomicrobiales; Rhizobiaceae
Description: 16S rRNA
Rfam family: Bacterial small subunit ribosomal RNA
Source: RNAcentral
AACACAUGCAAGUCGAACGCCCCGCAAGGAGUGGCAGACGGGUGAGUAACGCGUGGGAACAUACCCUUUCCUGCGGAAUAGCUCCGGGAAACUGGAAUUAAUACCGCAUACGCCCUACGGGGGAAAGAUUUAUCGGGGAAGGAUUGGCCCGCGUUGGAUUAGCUAGUUGGUGGGGUAAAGGCUACCAAGGCGACGAUCCAUAGCUGGUCUGAGAGGAUGAUCAGCCACAUUGGGACUGAGACACGGCCAAACUCUACGGAG